UCACAGGAUUUUCUAAAAUCCAUAAUAAAUCCUAUAUUAUUUUUUAU
Non-coding RNA from Clostridium acetireducens DSM 10703, 47 nucleotides. The record is from Rfam. NCBI's taxonomy places the organism in Bacteria, Bacillati, Bacillota, Clostridia, Eubacteriales, Clostridiaceae.